RNAcentral lists this ribosomal RNA (400 nucleotides) under Rhodococcus (subgen. Prescottella) equi. RNAcentral describes it as "Prescottella equi bacterial SSU rRNA". It matches the Rfam family "Bacterial small subunit ribosomal RNA", at positions 39 to 435 of the family's 1533-position model. The record is from RNAcentral. Lineage: Bacteria; Bacillati; Actinomycetota; Actinomycetes; Mycobacteriales; Nocardiaceae.
GGGGCAAUGCGGCGUGCUUACACAUGCAGUCGAACGGUAAGGCCCCUUCGGGGGUACACGAGUGGCGAACGGGUGAGUAACACGUGGGUGAUCUGCCCUGCACUCUGGGAUAAGCCUGGGAAACUGGGUCUAAUACCGGAUAUGAGCUCCUGUCGCAUGGCGGGGGUUGGAAAGGUUUACUGGUGCAGGAUGGGCCCGCGGCCUAUCAGCUUGUUGGUGGGGUAAUGGCCUACCAAGGCGACGACGGGUAGCCGGCCUGAGAGGGCGACCGGCCACACUGGGACUGAGACACGGCCCAGACUCCUACGGGAGGCAGCAGUGGGGAAUAUUGCACAAUGGGCGAAAGCCUGAUGCAGCGACGCCGCGUGAGGGAUGACGGCCUUCGGGUUGUAAACCUCUU